AAAUAGAACUUUGCAGAGAGAGUUAACAGGGCGUGAAACCGUUAAUUGGCAAACGAAUCGGAGCCACGAAGUCGUUUCGUUGAAGUUGGGGCCGAGUUCAGUCUAGGAGAAAUCUUGGGCGUAUUCUUGUGCUCAACCUCUUUGUAAGCGUACACUGCAACUAGUUAGACAAUUGGAGAUGGGCCCAGUCUCUGGUAGUAGUAGCGUGAUAGUCUUCGGAUUAUUGUGUUGCUGGCCAGGUGAUGAGUGAACUAUUUCCAAAUACUGACUAGCAAAAUGAAAAUCGCCACUUGUGGCGUUACACAGAAAGCAGUUGUUUACAUUAGUGUCUACAUGCUUGACCAUGUGCUUUUAAGUUCGGUAGUUUUGAAUUUGGACUUGCUAGCUACCAGUGGGGCAACUCCUGGUGCUAGUAUAGCUUCCAUCUAAUCGGCUACUGACUUGAGUAUGUGUCGUUUGGGUAUGCUACGAUAGGAUGUUAAUGUAAGAUAACUCGCAAUCUAAUUGGCAGUGAGUAGGUCGGCUUUCCGAACGACCCGUCUUGAAACACGGACCAAGGAGUCUAAUUAGGCAUCAAGUCGAUCGGUCUUGAUUAGGCCAGACUGGACACUUCUGUCCGAUUGAAGGCGUAGAGAUCGUGUGAUCAUUGGGACAACAACAGUCCUUAUGCGCAACACGUGCCUGCUCGUAUAGCAAUGCCUCGGGUUGCUGGGCGGAGCAAAGAGAUGCCUGAUUGGUACCCGAAAGAUGGUGAUGCUUGGGCAAAUUGAAGCCAGAGGAAACUCUGGUGGAGGAUUUAGCUGACGUGCAAAUCGAUCGUCAGACCUGAGUAUAGGGGCGAAAGACUAAUCGAACCAUC
Molecule: ribosomal RNA, 859 nt
Filed under: Calepitrimerus sp. S122 1
Lineage: Eukaryota; Metazoa; Arthropoda; Arachnida; Trombidiformes; Eriophyidae
Description: partial large subunit ribosomal RNA
Rfam family: Eukaryotic large subunit ribosomal RNA
Source: RNAcentral